RNAcentral lists this unclassified non-coding RNA (105 nucleotides) under uncultured Tremellomycetes. RNAcentral describes it as "sequence contains ITS1". Lineage: Eukaryota; Fungi; Basidiomycota; Tremellomycetes. The record is from RNAcentral.
GAGAUUCGUGGCGUGAGCCACAUACACACACACACCGUGAACCGUGGGCCUCGGCCCCAUUACAAACCAUGUCGUAUCAGAACGUGAUCAUAUGUAACAAUGAAA